This is a non-coding RNA of Acanthosepion pharaonis, 108 nucleotides long. NCBI's taxonomy places the organism in Eukaryota, Metazoa, Mollusca, Cephalopoda, Sepiida, Sepiidae. The record is from the annotation of a GenBank genome assembly.
GCCAUAUCACAUUGAACACCAGUAUCCAUAUGAUCACCAAAUUUAAGCAAUGUUGGGCCUGGUCAGCACCUAGAUCGGUAACCGUUUGGAAAUACCAGGUGCUGUAAG